Molecule: long non-coding RNA, 1369 nt
Organism: Micropterus dolomieu (smallmouth bass)
Lineage: Eukaryota; Metazoa; Chordata; Actinopteri; Centrarchiformes; Centrarchidae
Exons: 2
Source: RefSeq, a predicted model, not a curated record
CAUUACAGCAAUGAUAAUGCAAACAUAGGGAACUAAAUUGGGUGAUUUGGAUAAUUAAUUCAAAGACAAGACCACUAAACACACUGACUGGACCUUUGCUGUGAGGUUUAAAAUAUUUAGCUGCUAAUCCAAAUUACUUCUUCAUGGAGGAAAUCAUCAGUAUUUAUCUUGAGAGGAUGCCACCUAACUUUUGGCAACUUGUGAUGAGCUGGUGUUGCUUCUCAGAACUGAAGUCACCAGUUGGAUUACCAGCCCUUCUCAAAAUGACUUCACAAAAGUCCAGUCAAAUCUCAGUCUUGUCUGGGUUGUCAACAGACUCACUAGUGUAUGCAGUCCGUGUUUGUCCCAAGAGCCAGGAGGAGCCGGCAUGGUGAGAGGCUUGAAGGGUGAAAGAGUAGACGCUCCCUGGAAACAAACCUGCCACAGUUACCCCUCUGGAGGAGAGGGACAUGGGGACCCUGACAUUUCUUUUAACACCGCUCUGGCUCUGUGUGCCCUUUUUGCCCUCUGACUUCCUGCUUGCAUCUGAUUCACCUUCACCCGACUCUCCAUUUGCCUCCUCUUGGUACUGGAGGAAUACCUCAAAAGAAGAAUGAUUAAGUGAGUUCAAGGGUGAGAGGUCACUCCAACGAAGCUCUACGUGUUGCUCUGUCACCUGAACCACGACAAAGGAGAAUGAGGCAGGGACUGGAGGGGCUGUGAAAGAGAGAGAAACAUAGCACCAUCAUAGCAACUAGAGGUGGAAAUAGGGGAAAGAGAUGCUCAAAAUUUAUAUGGUUUGGGAUAACUAGUAAGUGCUCUGGUUAAUAAAAGUAUAUUACACAAGUUAUUUACUCUGGUACUGGCAGAUGAAAGGUAGAGGGAUGCUACAAAAGAAUGGAGUGAGAAAGUGUCCUUGUCCUGUGGCAUUCCUCUGAAGGGCAAAACAGUCUGUCUGAUUGUCUGGCAGCGAUGACUUGAUAGUGUUCGUUACGUUAUAGGUUGAGCCAUCAGACCAGAGAAGUUGUCCCUCCUCCUGUGGAGUGACCCAAGAGAGAAAGUAUCAACAACAAAACUCCUCUUUAAGGAGUAGCUGCUGCCACGGGGCUUUUCCUGUUUAGAAAGUAAACUACUUUGCCAGAAAAUCUGCUUCAAGUAGUGGCGGAUAACAUUACACAAUCGUAUAUCCUUUGGACAUUUUCUCAAACACAAAAUCAUAAUUCUCUAUAGGAAAUAAUUUGUCAUUUCCUUUGUGUAGGUCCUUUACAUGAAAUGUAUGUAAAAAAAUAUAAAUUUUCUUGCUCUGUAUACACUUAUACUCUGGCAGGUAUUGUGUAGGUGAUGUGAUGUCAGUGCAGUUAAGUUUAAUUACACUGUAAGAUAUUUUUAA